AGUUUGGCCAACAGUUUUACUUGCUGGUGUUCGUUAUUUUUUUCAUGUUUCAAAGUUGUUCUCAUCAGCGAUUGGUUGAAAUCUAGUCAUGUGAUUGAUGCAAGAUCCAAAUUAGGGAUUGAAACCAAACUGACCUUAAUAACGGCGUUAAGUGAUACUGAAUGCCGUAAAUUACGGCGCUUAUUGACAUCAGCGACUUCGGCUUACAGGGGAAACAGCGUUUUGGAUGGCGGGUUACUGGGGAACGGCGUAUUUUGCAUGUCAUUUGACGCCGUAAUGUGUCAUUAUUUGACUCACUUGGCCUUACAUAAGCGUUGCUAACAGGCGAACACGCUUAUUUAACAGACGCGGACGUAUGCUUAACAGCCGUAGGCGCUAAACAAUAGCGUUCUGAACGCAUGAAUUCUGACCCCUUUGGCGUUCCAUAGUUUAUGUGCAUAGUAGAAGUGUUGGUAGGAUCCGACAUAGACAUCAUAUAUAAAGGCUAGACGUCUAAUGGCGCAGUCACUUCCGGCAUCACUGGUGGCCAUCUUGUCACAGGCAGGCUUCCUGGCGGGCUCUGUGGUACCUGAUGUAAGGUUCAGCGAGGACCACUUGGAGCUUCUCUUCAACUCCAUCAGAGCAUCUGGUAGGGUUCAUAAUUUAUAUUUACCAGCUGCAACACUAAGGGACACAGUGUCAGCAAAUGCUUGUAUUGUUUUCAGUUUGUCGGUCCAUAUGUUUUUUUUUUACUUUUGGUAACAUGUUUUCUGAAGACAUACACCCUAACCCUAAGACAUACACAAUACCUGGAAGUGUCACAAACCAUUUUGAGUAUUUAGAAAAAUGCCUGUGUUUGACUAUUUGUUUGCAGAACUUAUCACUGAUACAGUCUGAAUUGUAUGAUAAUGUCAUUCAACCUAUUUUAUGUGGAAAGAUCUUUCAGGGGUGGCUAGUUCUAAUUAGUCUUUUUUUGUAAAAAUGUUUUAAGCAAAAACAUUUUAAAGCAUGUAUUGAAUAUCUGUGUACUAUACUUGUAUCUUUUUUAUUCAUUUAUUUAUUUAUUUUUUUAAAUGAUGGCUGGAAUAACAACCCUAAUGCCAGCCAGUUCAAGUACAUCUUUAGGCUGUAAAGCUGAUUGCCUCUGCAUGGUUUAACAACCCCACACUGGGCCAUGUGACGGCACAGGAUGACACAGAGUCCCUACCAGCUGUCAUCGACACCUCUACAAGCUUGUCAGCUGUAGAUGUGUCCUCUGCAGCAGGAGGAGAAGAUCUUCCAUCCCCGUUUGCUGACAUUUCUGCCCUAGUACAUGAUCACAGCUACCUUCCCUGUCCACUUUGAUGGUCUUGUGGACAACGCUGUCAUGUACAUUUCAGGAUUUGUUGUGCGACAGGCUCUGAAGAAGCUGUCGUGUGAUGUCUGCCGUGCCAGCCUGGUGACAGAUGCUGCAUCUGCCAUCAAGGACCAGAGAUACCACCUGCUGACUUUAAAAACAAUGGAGGUCUGGUGAUUCCAUCAGAGGGAACCGUGAGGGUCGUCAGGGCAGCACAGUGGGUCAUUCGGCAGUCAUCAGGCAGUACCAGACAAUCACAGCCCAUCAAACUGCUUGAGGUUGUUUACAUUGUCUGAAAAAGGAUCGGUUCAGAGGAUGUUUGUGUUGGGAUAGACAGCCAGCACUAUAGGCUGUUAAAAAUAAUUCUGUCCCUGUUUUUUAAGUUAAAGCUGCACCACAUCGUCAGAAUUACAAUCCUCAGCUUACAGAGCAACAACAUGCAACAGAAACCUAAUAAAACUGUCCUUUUCAAAGGGCAUUAGCCCAAGGUAUGUGUUUUCAAGGUACUGUCCUCUUUUACUUCAACAGUAGUGUAGUUCUCUCUACAGCAUUUCUUUUUUGGAUAUUUGUAAAGGGG
This is a long non-coding RNA of Esox lucius (northern pike), 1892 nucleotides long. The record is from Ensembl. NCBI's taxonomy places the organism in Eukaryota, Metazoa, Chordata, Actinopteri, Esociformes, Esocidae.